Molecule: ribosomal RNA, 67 nt
Filed under: uncultured organism
Description: partial 16S ribosomal RNA
Source: RNAcentral
UGGGCUUGACAUGCAGGUGGUAAGAACCCGAAAGGGAGAUGACCCGUGGCAACACGGGAGCCUGCAC